RNAcentral lists this ribosomal RNA (253 nucleotides) under uncultured bacterium. Its description in RNAcentral is "partial 16S ribosomal RNA". It matches the Rfam family "Bacterial small subunit ribosomal RNA", at positions 524 to 776 of the family's 1533-position model. The record is from RNAcentral.
UACCGAGGUCUCAAGCGUUGUUCGGAAUCACUGGGCGUAAAGCGUGCGUGGGCUGUUUCGUAAGUCGUGUGUGAAGGGCGCGGGCUCAACCCGCGGACGGCACAUGAUACUGCGAGACUAGAGUAAUGGAGGGGGAACCGGAAUUCUCGGUGUAGCAGUGAAAUGCGUAGAUAUCGAGAGGAACACUCGUGGCGAAGGCGGGUUCCUGGACAUUAACUGACGCUGAGGCACGAAGGCCAGGGGAGCGAAAGGG